Nerophis ophidion (straightnose pipefish) is the source of this 147-nucleotide long non-coding RNA. RefSeq lists it as uncharacterized. The transcript is spliced from 2 exons. The record is from RefSeq and is a predicted model, not a curated record. NCBI's taxonomy places the organism in Eukaryota, Metazoa, Chordata, Actinopteri, Syngnathiformes, Syngnathidae.
UCCAUUGGUCAGCAGUGGGCGCGGGAAGGUGAACCCGGAAAAGAUCUGAGGAAGGAAGAAAAGACAAAACCGCAAAGGAGGAGACGGAGGAGAAGAAGGAGAAGGAGAAGGAGACCACCCCUCUGCAGCAGCAGGGGAUGCUGGGAG